GACGAACGCUGGCGGCGUGCUUAACACAUGCAAGUCGAACGGAAAGGCCUUUUCGGCGGUACUCGAGUGGCGAACGGGUGAGUAACACGUGGGUGAUCUGCCCUGCACUCUGGGAUAAGCCUGGGAAACUGGGUCUAAUACCGGAUAGGACCGCACUUUAGUGUGUGUGGUGGAAAGUUUUUUCGGUGUAGGAUGAGCCCGCGGCCUGUCAGCUUGUUGGUGGGGUAAUGGCCUACCAAGGCGGCGACGGGUAGCCGGACUGAGAGGUUGGUCGGCCACAUUGGGACUGAGAUACGGCCCAGACGCCGACGGGAGGCAGCAGUGGGGAAUAUUGCACAAUGGGCGCAAGCCGGAUGCAGCGACGCCGCGUGGGGGAUGACGGCCUUCGGGUUGUAAACUCCUUUCGCCAGGGACGAAGCGUUUUGUGACGGUACCUGGAGAAGAAGCACCGGCUAACUACGUG
Molecule: ribosomal RNA, 463 nt
Filed under: uncultured bacterium
Lineage: Bacteria
Description: partial 16S ribosomal RNA
Rfam family: Bacterial small subunit ribosomal RNA
Source: RNAcentral